Molecule: non-coding RNA, 1862 nt
Filed under: Pongo abelii (Sumatran orangutan)
Lineage: Eukaryota; Metazoa; Chordata; Mammalia; Primates; Hominidae
Source: RNAcentral
GGGCCGGCGGCGGCCAGGGAGGUCGGGGUGCGCGGGGCUCGGCACCCCCUCGGCCCGCGCUGCGCCAGCACCACCUGCGGAGCUGCGGUGCCCACGCCGUGCCGCGACCCCGCCGCCCCCUGCUCCCUCCACACGCGGGCAAACAAAACAAGUUGCCGGUCGCUGCCGCCGGAGGGGGCCGGGCGGGUCACUCACCCUCAUCCUGCUCAGCGGGCUUGGGUCGUCCGGCCGCGGGGUCAGGGAAGACCAGAGGACCACUAGCCCCAGGAAGCUUCCCACCACCAGCAAACUGCGUGGUGAAUUUGUAACCGAAAGGCCCAGGUGAGAUGUGCAAAUAUCACUGGAUUGGAGGAGCUCACUUGGAAAGCCAGUAUUUCUCCUGAGCUAAUGAAAAGAAAGGCUGUCGUCUUACGCCAAAAGCAAUACCAACCUUGUUCACGGGCUGAGAUCUCCAGUGUGUAAUUCACGAAGUAUGAAUCUGCUGGGUAAUGUGAUAUGAAAAGCGAAUGCACCAUUUCUUGGUGAUGAUUCAGGUCAGCGUUGGGAUCCAGGAAUCUCCUGUUAAUCAGUACCCUGGUGAUUUUGAUCCAGGUCAUCAAGACCAUGGCUUCCAUCGUAGGCGGUCACACUCUUUCUCUCUUGGAUCAUUUGCUGUGGGGAAGCAAACUGUCAUAUGAGAGGACACUCAAACAGCCACUGGAGUCUCAUUUGCUAAGGAACUGAGGACUCCAGCCUGAGAACUCAGGCAAGUAACUGAGGCCUGCCAACAACCAUGGAGCAAGCCUGGAAGUGGAUCCUCCCUCAGCCUUCAGUUGAGACAACAGCUGGAAUGACAGCCAAGCCAGCGCCACCCAGCUUAGCCACCCCCAGAGAACUAACUCUCAGAAACCAUGUAAGAUAAUACAUGUUUGUUGUUUUAAGCUGCUAAGUUUUGGGGUAAUUUAUUAUACAAUAGAUAAUUAAAACACAUAGCAUAUAAAUAAAAUCAAUAAAACCAGUAUGGGUCAGUAAUGAGUAAAUUAGAUAAUUAGACAAAUUUUGACAUUUCUGUUUCUAUGUUAAUUAUUUUUCUCCAGAAAAAUUCCCUACGGGUAAAAUAUGUUAAGAGUGGUUACCAACAGGACAUUUUAAAAUUAAUAAUUAGUUUGGGAGGCCAAGGCGGUUGGAUUGCUUUAACUCAGGAGUUUGAGGCCAACCUGGGCAACAUGACAAAACCCUGUCUCUACAAAAAAUACAAAAAUUAAUCAGGCAUGGUUGUGUGUGCCUGUAGUCCCAGCCACUUGGGAAGCUGAGGUGGGAGGAUCAAUUGAGCCCGGGAGGCCAGGCUGCAGUGAGUCAAAAUCAUACCACCUCAAUCCAGCCUGAGCAACAGAGUGAGACCCUAUCUAAAAUAUAUACAUAUAUAUUAACAAUUAUCUCUUGAAACUAAAGUAUAAUCACAGUAUUAUUUCCCAUUUUAUUAAAUGCACUAAACAGUAUUGCAAUGUGUUUGUGUUUAUUAAAAAAUAUUUUGGAAAUCUUUGGGAGAAAAGCUACUUCAAAUUAGUCUGAAAACUAUCAUUUCUUUCUAGCAAUGUGUAAUAAUGUAAUGACUGCUUAGUAGAAUUUCCUGAGAGGGAAUGUAACAUAUAUUUUAAGCAUAAUAUUGUAAACAAACAAGUUCUUUUGCAGUACUUGAAGAUCUUUUUUGUGACUAUUCCCCUUAUAUCUUAUGAAGAUACAUUUUUUGUGACUAUCCUCUUUAUAUGUAUUGUGAAGAUAGGGUUUUUUAUGGUGAAUAUCCUCCUAAUGCUACUAGUAUUGUUUGCUAUCUGUCAUUAUUCUUAGUGUAAAAUUAAACUUCAACAGAGUACCUUUGUGAA